Molecule: ribosomal RNA, 1936 nt
Filed under: Escherichia coli
Lineage: Bacteria; Pseudomonadati; Pseudomonadota; Gammaproteobacteria; Enterobacterales; Enterobacteriaceae
Description: partial 23S ribosomal RNA
Rfam family: Bacterial large subunit ribosomal RNA
Source: RNAcentral
GGGUUGUGAGGUUAAGCGACUAAGCGUACACGGUGGAUGCCCUGGCAGUCAGAGGCGAUGAAGGACGUGCUAAUCUGCGAUAAGCGUCGGUAAGGUGAUAUGAACCGUUAUAACCGGCGAUUUCCGAAUGGGGAAACCCAGUGUGUUUCGACACACUAUCAUUAACUGAAUCCAUAGGUUAAUGAGGCGAACCGGGGGAACUGAAACAUCUAAGUACCCCGAGGAAAAGAAAUCAACCGAGAUUCCCCCAGUAGCGGCGAGCGAACGGGGAGCAGCCCAGAGCCUGAAUCAGUGUGUGUGUUAGUGGAAGCGUCUGGAAAGGCGCGCGAUACAGGGUGACAGCCCCGUACACAAAAAUGCACAUGCUGUGAGCUCGAUGAGUAGGGCGGGACACGUGGUAUCCUGUCUGAAUAUGGGGGGACCAUCCUCCAAGGCUAAAUACUCCUGACUGACCGAUAGUGAACCAGUACCGUGAGGGAAAGGCGAAAAGAACCCCGGCGAGGGGAGUGAAAAAGAACCUGAAACCGUGUACGUACAAGCAGUGGGAGCACGCUUAGGCGUGUGACUGCGUACCUUUUGUAUAAUGGGUCAGCGACUUAUAUUCUGUAGCAAGGUUAACCGAAUAGGGGAGCCGAAGGGAAACCGAGUCUUAACUGGGCGUUAAGUUGCAGGGUAUAGACCCGAAACCCGGUGAUCUAGCCAUGGGCAGGUUGAAGGUUGGGUAACACUAACUGGAGGACCGAACCGACUAAUGUUGAAAAAUUAGCGGAUGACUUGUGGCUGGGGGUGAAAGGCCAAUCAAACCGGGAGAUAGCUGGUUCUCCCCGAAAGCUAUUUAGGUAGCGCCUCGUGAAUUCAUCUCCGGGGGUAGAGCACUGUUUCGGCAAGGGGGUCAUCCCGACUUACCAACCCGAUGCAAACUGCGAAUACCGGAGAAUGUUAUCACGGGAGACACACGGCGGGUGCUAACGUCCGUCGUGAAGAGGGAAACAACCCAGACCGCCAGCUAAGGUCCCAAAGUCAUGGUUAAGUGGGAAACGAUGUGGGAAGGCCCAGACAGCCAGGAUGUUGGCUUAGAAGCAGCCAUCAUUUAAAGAAAGCGUAAUAGCUCACUGGUCGAGUCGGCCUGCGCGGAAGAUGUAACGGGGCUAAACCAUGCACCGAAGCUGCGGCAGCGACGCUUAUGCGUUGUUGGGUAGGGGAGCGUUCUGUAAGCCUGCGAAGGUGUGCUGUGAGGCAUGCUGGAGGUAUCAGAAGUGCGAAUGCUGACAUAAGUAACGAUAAAGCGGGUGAAAAGCCCGCUCGCCGGAAGACCAAGGGUUCCUGUCCAACGUUAAUCGGGGCAGGGUGAGUCGACCCCUAAGGCGAGGCCGAAAGGCGUAGUCGAUGGGAAACAGGUUAAUAUUCCUGUACUUGGUGUUACUGCGAAGGGGGGACGGAGAAGGCUAUGUUGGCCGGGCGACGGUUGUCCCGGUUUAAGCGUGUAGGCUGGUUUUCCAGGCAAAUCCGGAAAAUCAAGGCUGAGGCGUGAUGACGAGGCACUACGGUGCUGAAGCAACAAAUGCCCUGCUUCCAGGAAAAGCCUCUAAGCAUCAGGUAACAUCAAAUCGUACCCCAAACCGACACAGGUGGUCAGGUAGAGAAUACCAAGGCGCUUGAGAGAACUCGGGUGAAGGAACUAGGCAAAAUGGUGCCGUAACUUCGGGAGAAGGCACGCUGAUAUGUAGGUGAAGUCCCUCGCGGAUGGAGCUGAAAUCAGUCGAAGAUACCAGCUGGCUGCAACUGUUUAUUAAAAACACAGCACUGUGCAAACACGAAAGUGGACGUAUACGGUGUGACGCCUGCCCGGUGCCGGAAGGUUAAUUGAUGGGGUUAGCGCAAGCGAAGCUCUUGAUCGAAGCCCCGGUAAACGGCGGCCGUAACUAUAACGGUCCUA